Molecule: transfer RNA, 72 nt
Filed under: Capra hircus (goat)
Lineage: Eukaryota; Metazoa; Chordata; Mammalia; Artiodactyla; Bovidae
Also listed under: 1 other name
Rfam family: tRNA
About the family: Transfer RNA (tRNA) molecules are approximately 80 nucleotides in length. Their secondary structure includes four short double-helical elements and three loops (D, anti-codon, and T loops). Further hydrogen bonds mediate the characteristic L-shaped molecular structure. tRNAs have two regions of fundamental functional importance: the anti-codon, which is responsible for specific mRNA codon recognition, and the 3' end, to which the tRNAs corresponding amino acid is attached (by aminoacyl-tRNA synthetases). tRNAs cope with the degeneracy of the genetic code in two manners: having more than one tRNA (with a specific anti-codon) for a particular amino acid; and 'wobble' base-pairing, i.e. permitting non-standard base-pairing at the 3rd anti-codon position.
Source: Rfam by way of RNAcentral
UCCCUUGUAACUCAGUUGAUAAAGAAUCUGCCUGCAGUGCAGGAAACCUGGGUUCAAUCCCUGGUUUGGGAA